RNAcentral lists this ribosomal RNA (685 nucleotides) under uncultured bacterium. Its description in RNAcentral is "bacterial SSU rRNA". It matches the Rfam family "Bacterial small subunit ribosomal RNA", at positions 1 to 716 of the family's 1533-position model. The record is from RNAcentral.
CCCUUAGAGUUUGAUCCUGGCUCAGGGCUAACGCUGGCGGCGCGCCUAACACAUGCAAGUCGAACGAACCCUUCGGGGUUAGUGGCAGACGGGUGAGUAACGCGUGGAUAAUGUGCCUUUUUGCUGGGGAUACCGUUUCGAAAGGAACGUUAAUACCGAAUGUGCUCGACUGGUGGCAUCACCGGAUGAGUAAACUGUUAGGGUGAAAAGAGCAGUCCGCGUUCUAUCAGCUUGUUGGUGGGGUAACGGCCUACCAAGGCUACGACGGAUAACUGGUCUGAGAGGAUGAUCAGUCACACUGGAACUGAGACACGGUCCAGACUCCUACGGGAGGCAGCAGUGAGGAAUCUUGCACAAUGGGCGAAAGCCUGAUGCAGCGACGCCGCGUGAGGGACGAAGGCCUUCGGGUUGUAAACCUCUGUCAGUAGGGAAGAAGAUUGACGGUACCUACUGAGGAAGCUUCGGCUAACUACGUGCCAGCAGCCGCGGUAAGACGUAGGAAGCAAGCGUUGCCCGGAAUUACUGGGCGUAAAGAGCUCGUAGGCGGGGGCGUGCGUCCGAAAGGAAAUCUCAGGGCUCAACCCUGGGGCUUUUUCGGAUACGGCGCUUCUUGAGGGUGAGAGAGGAAAGCGGAAUUCCAGGUGUAGCGGUGAAAUGCGUAGAUAUCUGGAGGAACACCAGCGGC